GUAGUCAUAUGCUUGUCUCAAAGAUUAAGCCAUGCAUGUCUAAGUAUAAGCAAUUUAUACAGUGAAACUGCGAAUGGCUCAUUAAAUCAGUUAUCGUUUAUUUGAUAGUUCCUUUACUACAUGGUAUAACUGUGGUAAUUCUAGAGCUAAUACAUGCUUAAAAUCUCGACCUCUUGGAAGAGAUGUAUUUAUUAGAUAAAAAAUCAAUGUCUUCGGACUUUUUGAUGAUUCAUAAUAACUUUUCGAAUCGCAUGGCCUUGUGCUGGCGAUGGUUCAUUCAAAUUUCUGCCCUAUCAACUUUCGAUGGUAGGAUAGUGGCCUACCAUGGUUUCAACGGGUAACGGGGAAU
Molecule: ribosomal RNA, 349 nt
Filed under: Nakaseomyces glabratus
Lineage: Eukaryota; Fungi; Ascomycota; Saccharomycetes; Saccharomycetales; Saccharomycetaceae
Description: SSU rRNA
Rfam family: Eukaryotic small subunit ribosomal RNA
Source: RNAcentral